RNAcentral lists this ribosomal RNA (852 nucleotides) under Haloarcula sp. K1. RNAcentral describes it as "bacterial SSU rRNA". It matches the Rfam family "Archaeal small subunit ribosomal RNA", at positions 482 to 1317 of the family's 1478-position model. The record is from RNAcentral. Lineage: Archaea; Methanobacteriati; Methanobacteriota; Halobacteria; Halobacteriales; Haloarculaceae.
GUCCAAGUGAUGGCCGAUAUUAUUGGGCCUAAAGCGUCCGUAGCCGGCCGGACAAGUCCGUUGGGAAAUCGACGCGCUCAACGCGUCGGCGUCCAGCGGAAACUGUCCGGCUUGGGGCCGGAAGACCUGGGGGGUACGUCCGGGGUAGGAGUGAAAUCCUGUAAUCCUGGACGGACCACCAAUGGGGAAACCACCUCAGGAAGACGGACCCGACGGUGAGGGACGAAAGCUAGGGUCUCGAACCGGAUUAGAUACCCGGGUAGUCCUAGCUGUAAACGAUGCUCGCUAGGUGUGCCGUAGGCUACGAGCCUGCGCUGCGCCCUAGGGAAGCCGAGAAGCGAGCCGCCUGGGAAGUACGUCUGCAAGGAUGAAACUUAAAGGAAUUGGCGGGGGAGCACCACAACCGGAGGAGCCUGCGGUUUAAUUGGACUCAACGCCGGAAAUCUCACCGGUCCCGACAGUAGUAAUGACGGUCAGGUUGACGACUUUACCCGACGCUACUGAGAGGAGGUGCAUGGCCGCCGUCAGCUCGUACCGUGAGGCGUCCUGUUAAGUCAGGCAACGAGCGAGACCCGCACUUCUAGUUGCCAGCAAUACCCUUGAGGUAGUUGGGUACACUAGGAGGACUGCCGCUGCUAAAGCGGAGGAAGGAACGGGCAACGGUAGGUCAGUAUGCCCCGAAUGGACCGGGCAACACGCGGGCUACAAUGGCUCUGACAGUGGGAUGCAACGCCGAGAGGCGACGCUAAUCUCCAAACGGAGUCGUAGUUCGGAUUGCGGGCUGAAACNNGCAAGGGGGCUUAAGUCGUAACAAGGUAGCCGUAGAGGAAUCUGUGGCUGGAUCACCUCCUA